RNAcentral lists this long non-coding RNA (1455 nucleotides) under Homo sapiens (human). RNAcentral's name for it is "HSALNT0042563". Lineage: Eukaryota; Metazoa; Chordata; Mammalia; Primates; Hominidae. The record is from RNAcentral.
CGCUGCCGCCUUGCAGUUUGAUCUCAGACUGCUGUGCUAGCAAUCAGCGAGAUUCCGUGGGCGUAGGACCCUCCGAGCCAGGUGUGGGAUAUAGUCUCGUGGUGCGCCGUUUUUUAAGCCGGUCUGAAAAGCGCAAUGUUCGGGUGGGAGUGACCCGAUUUUCCAGGUGCGUCCAUCACCCCUUUCUUUGACUCGGAAAGGGAACUCUCUGACCCCUUGCGCUUCCCAGGUGAGGCAAUGCCUCGCCCUGCUUCGGCUCGCGCACGGUGCGCGCACCCACUGGCCUGCGCCCACUGUCUGGCACUCCCUAGUGAGAUGAACCUGGUACCUCAGAUGGAAAUGCAGAAAUCACCGGUCUUCUGCAUCGGUCACGCUGGGAGCUGUAGACCGGAGCUGUUCCUAUUCGGCCAUCUUGGCUCCUCCCCCGCAUCCAUUGAUUUUUUAACAAAGCUACCUGGCAUCUGAACUCCCUUUCUGUGCCUGUGAAAUUUCCACCUUCAACUGCAGAAGCUGCAAAGCCAGAUACUUGCUUUCAUAGCCUCCAUUACUUUGAGGGUAGGGCACAUGAAUAGGCUCAGUUACUCUGACUUCAGCUUGGAUAUUGACUUGGGAACUAGUGAGAAAAGAAGCACUCAGUGGAGAAUUAGUUCUGGCAGCAAUAGUAGCAGUUACCUCGAGGAUCUGGUCACAGUUAUAGCAGGGGGGUCAUCCAGUAGCCAAUGUCAGCAGCAAACAAUGCCAAUGCCAAUGCUAGAGAAAUGAGAGGUACAAACCAUUCAUCUAGCAUUUGCUGGCAUCAGAAAAAAUAUCCUCACUAGUCAAGUUCUGCAGCAUAAUUUUAGCUUCAAAGCUAUGCACUUUGUUUUAUCCUGCCUGCCCAUUUUUUAAGCCUUUUCUCUAGUGUUCCAAAUGACUCUGUGAACUACUCAAUAUCCUUUCAACAAACUUCUUUUCCACUUGAAUCAUCCAGAGUUAAUUUCUAUUGCUGGCAAUACUAACUCUGAUGGAAAAAUAAAAUAAUAAAUGCACUCUAACACAGAAUAACAGAAAUAAUGCUCCACCUAGUUAACAAGGAUUUUACAAACAAGUAGAAGUUAUUUGGUCUUCUUUUUAAAAAUACGUUCUUAAAAAUAACAUUUUUGACACCAUGAAUUCCACCUGUGUUUUCAAACUAUUUUUCACUAUUAACAUUAUGUUUUAAAGGAGAUACGUUUUCAAAAGAUCCACUGGAAAAAAUUAGACUUCUCCUAUAAUAAUUUACACAGUGAGUGGCUGAGAUUCUAAAGGAAUAUCAUAAAAUUAUGAUAAUAUUAAAUAAAAGCAAAUACUCUCAUAACUUUCAAGGAAACAUGCGAUGACUGAUGUAGUAUCAAAGGGAUAUGUUUUGGAAGAUGCUCUCUUCUAUGUGACUGAAAAUAUGGGGACAUGCUAUACAUUCUAUUUUUUCUUAUUGAU